Xenia sp. Carnegie-2017 is the source of this 699-nucleotide long non-coding RNA. RefSeq lists it as uncharacterized. Lineage: Eukaryota; Metazoa; Cnidaria; Anthozoa; Malacalcyonacea; Xeniidae. The record is from RefSeq and is a predicted model, not a curated record. The transcript has 4 exons.
CAAAUAUUUUGUGCCAGCGGAAUCGACUGCCAACAGAUGCGUAAAAUCCUCUCUAGUCCACUUUGGAAAUAUCUUUAGUCCACCACCAAAAUGGUGUCCACUCCAUACCGAAGUCUACGAAAGACAUUUCUGUGCGAUAGUACAAACUGAGUCCAUUUGAAGUUUGAGGCACGCCACAAAUAGGAUCAUACAGCUUAUCGACACCGAAACCCUUUGGAAUCCCAGCGUUACCACCACACAUCGAUGUACCAAUAUUCAAGGUUCCAAGGAUGAGAGUUUUUGACUACCCCUGCACCAGUCUCUGUAUGAUCAUGAAAUGCUCUCCAGGCUGCAUGAGAGGCCCAGGCUGGCAAACGUUGAAAACAGAACGCAUCACUGCAAUUCAGAAAGAAAAUAAAAGAUAAAAAUCUAUUUUCGACGUGAAGAAUUUCGUUUGUUUACUGGGAAAAGCAAAAUUUAAAAAUUAUUUCAAAAUGAGAGAAAGAGACGAUAAAUAUGAAUUAAGACAUAAAAGAAGUUGUAGUUUGCUGCUGGAAAAUUCUUUAAAACAAAUAAAUAGCGUUUUCCACUUAAAAAAUUUUAAACCUAAAGGGUGUCUGUAGGAAAACUUUGCUGUUUGUAAAACUUUUUUUAACUCUUGCAAGUUUUUGGUCUUUCAAGUAUUGGAUUGUUUUCUUGUUGUUGCCAUAUGGCAACUUU